RNAcentral lists this ribosomal RNA (450 nucleotides) under Agromyces sp. MG2-C1. RNAcentral's name for it is "bacterial SSU rRNA". It matches the Rfam family "Bacterial small subunit ribosomal RNA", at positions 1037 to 1484 of the family's 1533-position model. The record is from RNAcentral. Lineage: Bacteria; Bacillati; Actinomycetota; Actinomycetes; Micrococcales; Microbacteriaceae.
GGUGGUGCAUGGUUGUCGUCAGCUCGUGUCGUGAGAUGUUGGGUUAAGUCCCGCAACGAGCGCAACCCUCGUCGCAUGUUGCCAGCACGUCAUGGUGGGAACUCAUGUGAGACUGCCGGGGUCAACUCGGAGGAAGGUGGGGAUGACGUCAAAUCAUCAUGCCCCUUAUGUCUUGGGCUUCACGCAUGCUACAAUGGCCGGUACAAAGGGCUGCGAUGUCGUAAGGCGGAGCGAAUCCCAAAAAGCCGGUCUCAGUUCGGAUUGAGGUCUGCAACUCGACCUCAUGAAGUCGGAGUCGCUAGUAAUCGCAGAUCAGCAACGCUGCGGUGAAUACGUUCCCGGGCCUUGUACACACCGCCCGUCAAGUCAUGAAAGUCGGUAACACCCGAAGCCGGUGGCCUAACCCUUGUGGAGGGAGCCGUCGAAGGUGGGAUCGGUGAUUAGGAAUUC